This 394-nucleotide ribosomal RNA is filed under the name uncultured bacterium. RNAcentral's name for it is "partial 16S ribosomal RNA". It matches the Rfam family "Bacterial small subunit ribosomal RNA", at positions 523 to 918 of the family's 1533-position model. The record is from RNAcentral.
AUACGUAGGGAGCGAGCGUUGUCCGGAAUUACUGGGCGUAAAGGGCGCGUAGGCGGCGCUUCAAGUCGUCUGUCAAAUGGGAGGGCUUAACCCUUUUUCGCUGACGAAACUGGAGAGCUUGAGAAGCAGAGAGGCAAACAGAAUUCCUGGUGUAGCGGUGAAAUGCGUAGAUAUCAGGAAGAAUACCAGUGGCGAAGGCGGUUUGCUGGCUGCAUACUGACGCUGAAGCGCGAAAGCCAGGGGAGCAAACGGGAUUAGAUACCCCGGUAGUCCUGGCAGUAAACGAUGUAUGCUGGGUGUGAGACUAGCGAUAGUUUCGUGCCGAAGUUAACGCGAUAAGCAUACCGCCUGGGGAGUACGGUCGCAAGAUUGAAACUCAAAGGAAUUGGCGGGG